RNAcentral lists this long non-coding RNA (1660 nucleotides) under Homo sapiens (human). RNAcentral's name for it is "HSALNT0002041". The record is from RNAcentral. Lineage: Eukaryota; Metazoa; Chordata; Mammalia; Primates; Hominidae.
ACAUGUCGCUCAAACAGUUUGCCCAGCAGCAAUUAAGAGAGAAGACAGCAAGGCAUACAAAUGAUCUGCAAACAUUAUUGAGCACCUACUAUGUGCCAACUAUUGUUUUAGGCUCUGGGGACAUAAGAAUGAAUAACCCUGAGAAGGUGGCCAUAGUAAUGUUUGUGCCAUAUCACGCUAUCUUGUGGUUUAUUUUAUGUUUCUGCUAUGCUAGAUAGGGAGGGGAGCGGGAAGACAGAGCUAUGUCUUGAUUAUCUUGGUAUCUGCAGUAUGUAGUCCAGCUCAACAGGCAUUUGUUGAAUGACUGAAUGACUAUUUACAGAGGGCACACUAUGGGCCAGGAACCUGUCUGGGGUCUUAGAUAUGGCCAUGAACAAGAUGGAUGCAGCCCUUGCCUUCUUGGAGCUCAUAUUUGGCAGGGGGUCGCCAAGAUAUAUGCUGCACAGUACAUGAUGAGCACAAGGAGUGUUUCCUAGAGAAAGUACUGGAUGUUUUGCCUCAACAGUCCACAUCAGUGUGCAGGUAAUUAGCAUUACUCGGGGCACUGAAGGAAGGGUUGUCACAAUGACAACAAAGCAGUACCCAUUGAGAGGCAGGAGGGCGUGGUCUGAACUCCAGCUUGGCCAAUGGCCACUGUUGGAACUUGGGUGAGUUAUCUCUCUAAACCUCAGUUUCCCUUCUAGAAAAUAGAAAUGAUACUACUUAACUCUCAAGUUACUGGCCAUAGGCAGAAUUCUUUUGAUCUCUGUCCCCUGGUGUUACACCCUGUAGAAUCUCCUAGCUUUGAGUGUGGCUAGGACCAUCUAUCUGUCUAUCAAUCAUCUAUCCAUCCAUUCAUCCAUCUAUCCAUCCAGCCAUCUCUAUCUAUUUAGAUAAAUAUAUGUAUGUAUUUAUUCAUUCUAUAAUCUAUCUAUAUUUAUCUAUCUAGAUAUGUAUGUGUCUAUCAAUUUAUCAUUAUCUAUUUAUAUCUAUCAUCUAUCUCUACAUGUAAAUAUAUCUAGAUCUAUCUGUAUCUAUAUCUAUUAAUAUGUCUGUCUGUCUAUCUAUUUACCUUUCUAUCAUCUAUGACUCCCUCUUGCUUGUAUACCCUAGCAAGAUUCUCCUUGCUGGUGCCAUGAAGUCCGCGGCCAUGUUGAGGAAGCCCUGAGGGCAAAGAACCAUGGGAAGCUUCUAGAAUCUGAGGGUGGCCUCUGGGUGACAGUCAACAAAAUGCCAGGGACCUGCUCAGAUAGCCACAAGGAAAUGAAUUCUGACCACAACCUGAGGGAGCAUAGCAGUGGGUUGUUCCCCAGUAGAGCCUCCAGAUGAGAACACAGCCUAGCCAAUGUCACAAGGAUUGCAGCCUUGUGAGACUCGGAGCAGAGGACCCAUUUAAGCAUUCCUGGACUCCUGGACCUAAACUGAGAAAUAAUAAAUGUAUAUUGCUGGAGGCCACCAAGUGUGUAGUGAUUCAUUACAUUGCAAUGGAUAUCUAGUAGAUUGCUACUAUGUGCCUGACACAUAGUAGGUUCUGAAAGUAGAGGUGAAGGAAAGCAGAAGAAGACUUAAGCCAUCCUACCCUCCUCUUGUCCUCUCCUCAAACCCCAACAGAAGCUGGCAUUCCAAGAGGCUCCGGGCCUUCUACAAUGUCAGCCUUGCUAAGGUGCCUGGCUUGGAAUGA